This 296-nucleotide ribosomal RNA is filed under the name uncultured bacterium. RNAcentral's name for it is "partial 16S ribosomal RNA". It matches the Rfam family "Bacterial small subunit ribosomal RNA", at positions 1065 to 1359 of the family's 1533-position model. The record is from RNAcentral.
UCGUGAGAUGUUGGGUUAAGUCCCGCAACGAGCGCAACCCCUGUCUUAUGUUGCCAGCACGUUAUGGUGGGGACUCGUGAGAGACUGCCGGGGUCAACUCGGAGGAAGGUGGGGAUGACGUCAAAUCAUCAUGCCCCUUAUGUCUAGGGCUUCACACAUGCUACAAUGGCUAGUACAGAGGGCUGCGAUACCGCGAGGUGGAGCGAAUCCCUUAAAGCUGGUCUCAGUUCGGAUUGGGGUCUGCAACUCGACCCCAUGAAGUCGGAGUCGCUAGUAAUCGCAGAUCAUCAACGCUG